This 497-nucleotide ribosomal RNA is filed under the name uncultured bacterium. RNAcentral describes it as "partial 16S ribosomal RNA". It matches the Rfam family "Bacterial small subunit ribosomal RNA", at positions 28 to 507 of the family's 1533-position model. The record is from RNAcentral.
GAUGAACGCUGGCGGCGUGCCUAAUACAUGCAAGUCGAGCGAACGGACGAGAAGCUUGCUUCUCUGAUGUUAGCGGCGGACGGGUGAGUAACACGUGGAUAACCUACCUAUAAGACUGGGAUAACUUCGGGAAACCGGAGCUAAUACCGGAUAAUAUUUUGAACCGCAUGGUUCAAAAGUGAAAGACGGUCUUGCUGUCACUUAUAGAUGGAUCCGCGCUGCAUUAGCUAGUUGGUAAGGUAACGGCUUACCAAGGCAACGAUGCAUAGCCGACCUGAGAGGGUGAUCGGCCACACUGGAACUGAGACACGGUCCAGACUCCUACGGGAGGCAGCAGUAGGGAACCUUCCGCAAUGGGCGAAAGCCUGACGGGGCAACGCCGCGUGAGUGAUGAAGGUCUUCGGAUCGUAAAACUCUGUUAUUAGGGAAGAACAUAUGUGUAAGUAACUGUGCACAUCUUGACGGUACCUAAUCAGAAAGCCACGGCUAACUACGUG